This 542-nucleotide ribosomal RNA is filed under the name uncultured bacterium. Its description in RNAcentral is "bacterial SSU rRNA". It matches the Rfam family "Bacterial small subunit ribosomal RNA", at positions 355 to 896 of the family's 1533-position model. The record is from RNAcentral.
UAGGGAAUAUUGGGCAAUGGAUGCAAGUCUGACCCAGCCAUGCCGCGUGCCGGAUGAAGGCCCUCAGGGUUGUAAACGGCUUUUAUUCGGGAAGAAGAGCAGGGAUGCGUCCUUGUGUGACGGUACCGAAUGAAUAAGCACCGGCUAACUCCGUGCCAGCAGCCGCGGUAAUACGGAGGGUGCGAGCGUUGUCCGGAUUUAUUGGGUUUAAAGGGUGCGUAGGUGGCUUAAUAAGUCAGUGGUGAAAUACAGCCGCUCAACGGUUGAGGUGCCAUUGAUACUGUUAAGCUUGAAACAAGUGGAGGCUGCCGGAAUGGAUGGUGUAGCGGUGAAAUGCAUAGAUAUCAUCCAGAACACCGAUUGCGAAGGCAGGUGGCUACGUUUGAUUUGACACUGAGGCACGAAAGCAUGGGGAGCAAACAGGAUUAGAUACCCUGGUAGUCCAUGCCGUAAACGAUGAGGACUCGCUGUUGGGCUGUCAAGGUUCAGCGGCUUAGGGAAACCGUUAAGUCCUCCACCUGGGGAGUACGCCGGCAACGGUG